AUUGAACGCUGGCGGAAUGCUUUACACAUGCAAGUCGAACGGCAGCACGGGGCAACCCUGGUGGCGAGUGGCGAACGGGUGAGUAAUACAUCGGAACGUGCCCAGUCGUGGGGGAUAACGUAGCGAAAGUUACGCUAAUACCGCAUACGAUCUACGGAUGAAAGCGGGGGACCGUAAGGCCUCGCGCGAUUGGAGCGGCCGAUGUCAGCUUAGGUAGUUGGUGAGGUAAAGGCUCACCAAGCCGACGAUCUGUAGCUGGUCUGAGAGGACGACCAGCCACGCUGGGACUGAGACACGGCCCAGACUCCUACGGGAGGCAGCAGUGGGGAAUUUUGGACAAUGGGCGAAAGCCUGAUCCAGCCAUUCCGCGUGCAGGAUGAAGGCCCUCGGGUUGUAAACUGCCUUUGUACAGAACGAAAAGGUUUCUACUAAUACUAGGAGCUCAUGACGGUACUGUAAGAAUAAGCACCGGCUAACUACGUGCCAGCCGCCGCCGUAA
Molecule: ribosomal RNA, 499 nt
Filed under: uncultured bacterium
Lineage: Bacteria
Description: partial 16S ribosomal RNA
Rfam family: Bacterial small subunit ribosomal RNA
Source: RNAcentral